Molecule: long non-coding RNA, 823 nt
Filed under: Homo sapiens (human)
Lineage: Eukaryota; Metazoa; Chordata; Mammalia; Primates; Hominidae
Description: non-protein coding lnc-SOD1-11:2
Source: RNAcentral
UUUAUUUAACUACUUUAAUUUUUUGGUGAGAGUCGCCAAACCUCGCACCAAAACCACAUUUUGGUUAAAUAUAAAUAAAAUCAACAUGCAAUGAGGCUGGGCGUGGUGGCUCACUGUAAUCCCAGCACUUUGGAAGGCCAUGGCGGAUGGAUCACCUGAAGUCAAGAGUUGGAGACCAGACUGACCAACAUGGUGAAACUCCAUCUCUACUAAAUACAAAAAAGUAGCUGCGCAUGGCCGGGCGCAGUGGCUCACGCCUGUAAUCCCAGCACUUUGGGAGGCCGAAGCGGGCAGAUCACGAGGUCAGGAGAUCGAGACCAUCCUGGCUAACACGGUGAAACCCCUUCUCUACUAAAAAUACAAAAAAAUUAUCCAGGCAUGGUGGCGGGCGCCUGUAGUCCCAGCUACUCGGGAGGCUGAGGCAGGAGAAUGGCGUGAACCCGGGAGGCGGAGCUUGCAGUGAGCCAAGAUCACGCCACCGCACUCUAGCCUGGGCAACAGAGCAAGACUCCCUCUCAAAAAAAAAAAGUAGCCGGGUGUGGUGGCGCAUACCUGUAAUCCCAACUACUUGGGAGACUGAGGCAGGAGAAUCACUUGAACCAGGGAGGCGGAGGUUGUAAGUGAGCCAACAUAGCGCCCCUGCACUCCUCCAGCCUGGGCAACAAGAGCAAAACUCCAUCUCAAAAAAAAAAAAAAAAAAAAGGACAGGCGCAGUGGCUCACUACUGUAAUCCCAGCACUUUGGGAGGCCGAGGCAGGCGGAUCAUGAGGUCAGGAGAUUGAGGCCAUCCUGGCCAACAGGGUGAAACCCCGUCUCUACUAAA